Molecule: ribosomal RNA, 466 nt
Filed under: uncultured bacterium
Lineage: Bacteria
Description: partial 16S ribosomal RNA
Rfam family: Bacterial small subunit ribosomal RNA
Source: RNAcentral
GAUGAACGCUGGCGGCGUGCUUAACACAUGCAAGUCGAACGGAAAGGCCCAAGCUUGCUUGGGUACUCGAGUGGCGAACGGGUGAGUAACACGUGGGUGAUCUGCCCUGCACUUCGGGAUAAGCCUGGGAAACUGGGUCUAAUACCGGAUAGGACCACAUUUUGGAUGGUGUGGUGGAAAGUUUUUCGGUGUGGGAUGAGCUCGCGGCCUAUCAGCUUGUUGGUGGGGUAAUGGCCUACCAAGGCGUCGACGGGUAGCCGGCCUGAGAGGGUGUACGGCCACCUUGGGACUUAGAUACGGCACCGACUCCUACGGGAGGCAGCAGUGGGGAAUAUUGCACAAUGGGCGCAAGCCUGAUGCAGCGACGCCGCGUGGGGGAUGACGGCCUUCGGGUUGUAAACUCCUUUCGCUAGGGACGAAGCGUUAUGUGACGGUACCUGGAGAAGAAGCACCGGCUAACUACGUG